ACAUACAUACAUACAAACAUACACAUAUCAAUAAAUAUGUACUUGUAAAACGUUGGUAGCGAAGUUCAGAUCCGACCUCCACCACCACCACUGCUACCGAAAAGGACUAGGAACUAAUCAGAAAAAUUCAGACUACUAAAUUAACUAAUCACAUGCAUUGGUUAAGUAAUCUUGUAAGAAGAUUGCCUCAAAUGCCCCUAUUGACAGCACUGCUAAUAGUAAUAAUCUUCCAUUUUACUUCAUUUGAUUUACUGUAUGUUUUCAUUUUUUAGGCAAAACGUUUGCAUGAAGCAUUUCAUCAACCAUUUAUAAUGAGCAAGAAAAAAGUUGAACAAUCUAGUGGAGAUAAACAAUCAAAGUCAUGAGACACAAUUGUGCAACUCUAUUCCUGGAUUGUACCAAUACUUGUGGGGGAAAUUCCCCUGGGGAAUAUUGCAACUUUAAAGCCUCCCCCCAACUGUCAGAUGUGUAUAAAUAAAUGUACACCCUUUCAAAUUCAAAUUAGCGGCUUAGCCAUGACCUUUUAAAUAUUCAUUGCUCUGCAGUAAGCUGGCCCAUUUUAUAUCUUAUGCAGACUUGAAUAAUGCUUACUUAAACAAUUCCCAUGUACAGAAGACACACAUUCAUUAAUUUGAGAAAUUAUAUGGCUGUCAAAUUACUACAAUAGGUUACAGUUAAUUUGAAAGGGUGUACAUUUUUUUGAUACACCCUGUAUGUGUGCUUUAGCACUGAAAUUGGACACUGAAUAGCAGAUAUUCACUAUACGUUAUAUUAGAAAGUUAUUGUGAAAAAAUUUGACAUUACACUAAAAAAUUCAAAAUAUUAUUGUCUCAUUGGAUGGCUAAUAGGGGUAGGGAUAAAACGCUGAAACUGAAUCGCGGAAACUGAAAGCGGAAACUGAAAUGGGGAUAAAACGCUGAAAUGGGGGUAAAACGCUGAAAUGGGGGUAAAACGCUGAAAUGGGGGUAAAACGCUGAAAUGGGGAUAAAACGCUGAAAUGGGGAUAAAACGCUGAAAUGGGGAUAAAACGCUGAAAUGGGGAAAUUUAAUCGAAUUCGUUGUUUGCUAGACCAUUGCGAACGGCAAUUGCUAGAUAGUAUACUUCAAAAUAAGGUUUGCGU
This is a non-coding RNA of Paramuricea clavata, 1121 nucleotides long. The record is from the annotation of a GenBank genome assembly. NCBI's taxonomy places the organism in Eukaryota, Metazoa, Cnidaria, Anthozoa, Malacalcyonacea, Plexauridae.